UACGGAGGGUGCAAUCGUUGUUCGGAAUCACUGGGCGUAAAGGGCGCGUAGGCGGCUCGGUAAGUCGGGUGUGAAAGCCCCGGGCUCAACCCGGGAAGUGCAUUCGAAACUGCCGGACUUGAGUACGGGAGAGGGAAGUGGAAUUCCUCGUGUAGGGGUGAAAUCCGUAGAUAUCAGGAGGAACACCGGUGGCGAAGGCGACUUCCUGGGCCGAUACUGACGCUGAGGCACGAAAGCGUGGGGAGCAAACAGG
This 253-nucleotide ribosomal RNA is filed under the name uncultured bacterium. Its description in RNAcentral is "partial 16S ribosomal RNA". It matches the Rfam family "Bacterial small subunit ribosomal RNA", at positions 524 to 776 of the family's 1533-position model. The record is from RNAcentral.